This 64-nucleotide transfer RNA is filed under the name Marmota monax (woodchuck). It matches the Rfam family "tRNA". Rfam says of the family: Transfer RNA (tRNA) molecules are approximately 80 nucleotides in length. Their secondary structure includes four short double-helical elements and three loops (D, anti-codon, and T loops). The record is from Rfam by way of RNAcentral. Lineage: Eukaryota; Metazoa; Chordata; Mammalia; Rodentia; Sciuridae.
UGGGGUGUAGCUCAAUGGGAGAGCACUUGCCCAGAGGCUCUGGGUUCAAUCCCCAGCACCACAA